This is a long non-coding RNA of Exaiptasia diaphana, 613 nucleotides long. RefSeq lists it as uncharacterized. The record is from RefSeq and is a predicted model, not a curated record. NCBI's taxonomy places the organism in Eukaryota, Metazoa, Cnidaria, Anthozoa, Actiniaria, Aiptasiidae. The transcript is spliced from 3 exons.
CAAGUUCCAUUGUUGGUUAAGUAAAGAAUUAAUUUCAUGUACUUGCCAUGUUAACUGGUCGGAUUACAGGUCAGUUUACAGGUGCUUGUGGUUGUUGUGUGAAUUCAAAUCGCAUGAACGCCUCACUCACCCCUUAGAAGGAAGGAAUACUCGCCCCAUAUAAGAGAAUCCGGAAUCCGGUAAAAAAACAGCUUCGGAGUCCGAAAUCCGUAUCCUGGAAUACGGAAUUCCAAGUUUUGGAAUCCAGAAUCCAACAUUCUUUGGAACCCGGAAUCCUGUAGUUCUCUGGAUYCUCUUACAUGGGGCGAUAAUACGACAUAUUACCCGUAAAUCCCAGGACGACACCUAUUGGCGAUAAAUGCCGGAUUGUAUGGGAGUAACCACKCCCUCGAGUAUGCCAUACUGACUGCUGAGACCAAGUGUCARMAGCAUAGCAAAAAACAGUACAGACCACAGCGGUGAUAUAGGCAUCUUGACGAUCGCUUCUGUGAACGCGAUGAACGUCAGACCUGGUCCUUGAGCUKCCUGUCAAAUUAUGAAUCGAGAAGAUGACUGUCGUGGCAUACAAGGAAGUCGCGCCAUUAGUCAACGAUACAACAACCGCGUCCCGUCU